GAACGGGUUAGUAACGCGUGAGAAACCUGCCCAGAAGUGGGGGAUAACACUCCUAACGGGGUGCUAAUACCGCAUGUGGUGCUUGAGUCGCAUGGCUCGAAUACCAAAGGUGGCCUCUGUUUACAAGCUAUCGCUUCUGGAUGGUCUCGCGUCCGAUUAGCUAGUUGGCGGGGUAACGGCCCACCAAGGCGACGAUCGGUAGCUGGUCUGAGAGGAUGGUCAGCCACACUGGGACUGAGAUACGGCCCAGACUCCUACGGGAGGCAGCAGUCGAGAGGCUUCGGCAAUGGGGGAAACCCUGACCGAGCGACGCCGCGUGGGGGAUGAAGGCCCUUGGGUUGUAAACCACUGUCAGAGGGGAUGAAGUUCAUGAGGGCAAUCUCUCAUGAUUGACAUAGCCUCAGAGGAAGCACGGGCUAAGUUCGUGCCAGCAGCCGCGG
This 440-nucleotide ribosomal RNA is filed under the name uncultured bacterium. RNAcentral describes it as "bacterial SSU rRNA". It matches the Rfam family "Bacterial small subunit ribosomal RNA", at positions 100 to 520 of the family's 1533-position model. The record is from RNAcentral.